AAUGGGCGAAAGCCUGACGCAGCGACGCCGCGUGGGUGACGAAGGCCUUCGGGUUGUAAAGCCCUGUGGGGUAGAACGAACUGGCAUCGGGCUAAUAUCCCGGUGUCUUGACGGUACUGCCUUAGCAAGCAUCGGCUAACUCUGUGCCAGCAGCCGCGGUAAGACAGAGGAUGCGAACGUUGCUCGGAUUUACUGGGCGUAAAGCGCGUGUAGGCGGUCUCGUUAGUCGGGUGUGAAAGCCCCGGGCUCAACCCGGGAAGUGCACCCGAUACUGCGAGACUGGGGUACUGAAGAGGAGAGCGGAAUUCCCGGUGUAGAGGUGAAAUUCGUAGAUAUCGGGAGGAACACCAGUGGCGAAGGCGGCUCUCUGGGCAGAUACCGACGCUGAGACGCGAAAGCGUGGGGAGCAAA
Molecule: ribosomal RNA, 411 nt
Filed under: uncultured bacterium
Lineage: Bacteria
Description: bacterial SSU rRNA
Rfam family: Bacterial small subunit ribosomal RNA
Source: RNAcentral